ACCUGAGUGUCUAUGGACAGACAGUCUCCUCACUCUACCCUUCCAGCCUUCCUUCUCUCUUUUUAUAGAUACUAAUAUACUUAGCCCAAGGUCUGGCUAAUAACCUUUACUUGCUCCAAUAUCCAUUUCACCCUGCGCACAUGCCGGUGAUGGUAGAGGCUAAAAUGAGAAGAGAGCAUUUGGAGAUGAGAAUCAGCUUAAAGACAAGAGCAACAUUACUCACAGAGCUCCAGUCUUGAUACACUAACAGUACUUGGCUCUCAUAAGAAUGACGUCAUUCGACUAGCUAAUGAUAGUUCUUUAAAUACCUCCUUCUCAUUCCAGCAACAAUCUAAUGGCCUCUCUUUAGUCUUCAUGGAGUCCUUCCAGUAUGAUGACACUCUUCCACAAUACAUAAGUUUGAGCUGAUUCGGACUUAAAGUUUUCAAGUUACCGGCAUAUUCAGAAAAGGCCAAACUCCAAAACUGAAAUACCCAAGUGGUCUACAGUGUCUAUAAUGCUAUGAUCAUUGUUGCCAUUCAUCCACUGGAAUACUGUAGAAUGUUUUUAGCUAUAACACUCCAGGUGUCAAUGUAUUGUAGUUGAAGAGGUGAGUCUCUUAAUUCAUUGGAUCAAUGUUCCCUCCCACUCAAUGCACUGGAGACUGGAACUGAGACAUAGUGUCAUUCUUCCUUA
Molecule: long non-coding RNA, 675 nt
Organism: Amphimedon queenslandica
Lineage: Eukaryota; Metazoa; Porifera; Demospongiae; Haplosclerida; Niphatidae
Exons: 6
Source: RefSeq, a predicted model, not a curated record